Molecule: long non-coding RNA, 3643 nt
Filed under: Nicotiana tabacum (common tobacco)
Lineage: Eukaryota; Viridiplantae; Streptophyta; Magnoliopsida; Solanales; Solanaceae
Description: long non-coding RNA (NTAB_LNC002246)
Source: RNAcentral
CAAAACUCAGAAGCGACGCUAUACACUGUUCUUCUUCACCCAAAAUCAUUCCCAAACUCGCCAAAAUUCAGGCGAGUGAACCCAAACUCACAUCACGCGCUUCCCCCCUUCUAUCCUUUUGCCACAUAGUGUAACAGUCUCUGACAACAACAAGAUUCCCUCCCUCACUUGCCCGUUUUCAAGCUAAAUCACGCGGUUAGAAGGCUCGAAAAGACGUGUGUUGGAUGUGUGAGAGCCGUCAGAUCGAUUUCAUUCAAUCCAAACCUCACAUUCAUCAUGUGCUCGUUUUCAAAGGGGCCUUAUCCGAUUUCUUGAAGAGGGAGUAAGAAUCUGGAGGUUAGGGAUAUAAGGAAGCAUUUUCGGAUAAAAAAGGGGAUUCUUUUCAGAAAAGGUUUUUUUUAGAAAUUUAGGAAAGGAAAAAUUCUAGGGUUCUUGGAGUUUCCUUUUUUUUCUUCAAUUUUCGUUGGGAUUUUUAGAAAAAACAAAGAGCAAAAAAUAUAGUCCGAGUUUCAUUUCUUUGAGUUUUACUUCAUUUCAAGAAAAAAUCAAAAAAAAAUCACUAAGACAUAAUUUUCAUAUUUUUUUCUCUUAAUUUCUUGUUCUAAAAAAUGGAGCUUGAUUGAAGUUGAGUUGGAGUUUGCAUUUAAGCUCUAAAUCCUGCUGCUAUUUCAAAUUUCUGUCCGAGCUUCUGAUUUCUACUCAAUUUUGUUGCUGGUUGUGCUGAUAUUAGCUAUUGGAUUUCACUUGUAAUUAGUGUUUAAGCAAAAUUAAUCAAGGCGUUUGCUGAUUCAGGUUCAUCUCUUGGUUCCUUUAAUCUUUUUUAUUUUAUUUCUCUUUUUCUGUCUUCUUUGUGUUGUUUGAAGUAUUGGUAAGAACUAUGGUUGGUCGAAUGGGGUUUUGCAGUGUCUAUAACAUCUUAAGGGUAUAGUGUGUGCUUAAAAAACAAUCUCGAAUGGGUUCGCAUUCGAAUGUAUGUUUCAAAGUCCGUCCUACUUUGAACAGGUUCAUUUGAGCUGAGUUUCUUCCUGUUUUUGUGCUGUUUGGUUAAAGUGAUCGUCCUUCAAAUCGUAUCUAUCUCUGAUUCAGUUUUUUGCUACAACUUGAGUCAUAUGUCUCCGCUAUUUCUUGCUUUAUUCCUUGUGUGGAUUGGAUAUCAGUGCCGAAUUAGCUAAAAGUCGAUUGGUUUAAGUUUAAAUGACUGUGUUCAUUGGUUCCAAUUUUAUAAUCUGGACUAGUUCUAGUUUAAAUGACCAGCUCGACUAAUUCUGGUGUUUCAUUUGCUAUAUAUGACAUGUUUUAUGCUCAAGGUAAUCUGCUCGUACCUAUUGUUUGGUCUCGACAUAUUCGACAUGAAUCACUGAAUAGUUUCCUUUUUCCGUGAUUCCAUGACCAUUUUCGCAUGUUCUGCGGGUUUGAAGUUGCUGAAGUUAUCUUUGAUAUUAUUUGCUCUUUGUGUCUUACCAUGUUUGAGAGGAUCAGUGAGUGUUCAUGUUUCCAGCAUGCCUAUUCUGUUGGUGAACUUCUUGAACAAGAUUCAAUAUGAAAAUUGUGUAGCAGUAUGACUUUGUUUUCUUUGAAAUCAGUUGAUAUUUGCUAGUUGAGCUAUGUGCCUUUGUGUCUUAUUUUCCUAGCAAGUCCUUGUUUGUUUGGCUGAUUUCAGGCUUAAAAUGUGGUUGUAGGGCAAUAAUAAGUAAUGUGAUCGUCUAAUGUUGAAAGAGGAUUCCAUGUAAGUUGUAAUAAAUUAGUCAGUUAGUCCCAUGUAGAAGCUUAAACUUAAUAGGUCUAACCAACAAACUGAGGGUUGGUUUGUAAAGGGACUUACUAAGUUCAAUGUUUGGAUUUGCUAAGUUCAGUAGUGGGUUUUGCUCAAUUUACAGUCAUUUUGUUAAGGAGUUGGAAUGCAUUUUGAGUUGAUCAUUAGCGGUUUGAUAAAUUUGUGGAAUGCAUUUUGCCUGGAUUGUUAGGAGGCCAGUAAUGUUAAGGUCCUAACUUCUGUGCAAUUGCGAGUUUUUUUACUUACUACUCGCGUUGGUGGUAUUGGCUGUUUUCUUUUAUCAUUGAAUACGGGCUUUCUAUUUUGAUCUGUUUAAAGGGAAUAAAUGUCAACCGUGCAAUGUGUCAAAUCCACGGUAUUGGCUUUACAUUUAGUGACCAAGUCUAUUUUUUCUUAAAGAUUGUGGUGUGGAUAAUAUGGCAAAAAAUGUGGGUUUCUACGGUGAUGUAUUGUAAUUAUUUUGUUUGAGACAUAAGUUGAAGACAAUCAUCCUCGAUAUUAACAUUCUUUUCCUGCUACUCUUUCCCUAUUAUUCUAUAAGAAGCUCUGAACAAUGGUACUGGUUGCACAAGCUUAGACCAAUUGUUGGCAUUUUAUGGUUAGGCGAACCUAUAGGCAUGUAAUUAAAUCAUCAUAAAUACGGGUACGAUUCCCGUGACGUCGUUGUGACACCUAAUUUUAAAUUAGUUUUAAUAUGAAUAUCUAUAGUUCAUUUAGUUGAAUAGUUUUGAGGCGUGUCAUUCAUACAUUUAAAUCAUAUAACCUAUGACCCUCAUAUUUUAUAACUUAGAUACUAAAAACGAAUCUCGUAGUUUGCUUUAGGCGCGCAAUUAAAUUAUUACAACUACGGGUAUGGUUCCCAUGACGUAGUUGUGAUACCUAAAUUAGAUUAAAGUAUGAGCAUCCUAGUUGGCCUCCAAGAAUACAAAUCUUUUCCUUUUUAAAAAUAAUUUGAGGUGCGCCAUACACAAAUAGAAUCCUAUAAUCUAUGACCCUCAUGUAAAUACAAGAUUAGAAUGGAAAAUGCCUUGAACUUUCGUAGUUUGCUUUAGGUGCCUUAAUUAAAUAAUUGUCAUGGCUACAUGUACGGCUUCCGUGACGCAGUUGUGAUGCUUAAUUUCUAAAAUUCGGGGAUACAUUUAUGUGACCCGGUCACAAUUUAAUCUUGUUAAUAAAAUAAACAUGUUGUAGAUCGUGAGUACGGUUCCCGUGACAUGAUUCGCAAUGUGUAAUUAAAUAAAUAUUAGUAUAAUAAGUGGAUUAUUAAAAGCGGUUUAAAAAGGAAUAGAAAUGCACCUAGGUUUCAAAGAUGUUUUAAAUCAAAUAAAUAGACCAAUAAUAGCAGUUGAACGACCGUGCUGAAACCACGGAACCCGAGAAUGCCUAAUACCUUCUCCCGAGUUAACAAAAUUCCUUACCCGGAUUUCUGUAUUUCGCGGACUGUAAAACAAAGUCAAUGUUUUUCUCGAUUCGGGAUUUAAACCGGUGACUUGAGACACCAUAAAUUAUCCCAAGUGGCGACUCUGAAACUUAAAAAUAAUCCCGUUUCGAUUGUCACUUAAAUUGAAAAAAAACUCCCUUAUACCCUCUCGGGGCUAGUAAAAAGGAGGUGUGACAUUGAUUUCAAAUUUUUCUGAUACCCUUUAGUUGGCAUAAGUCGAACACAUUUCUAUUUCAUUUCUUGAUCUUGAGAAGCAGGAGACAUCAAUUUCGUGAUGGUCAAGAGCAAGAACUAGAGCUGUCAAAGUAAAUUUAGAUCACAUCAAUUCUAUAAGUAAUUAAUUUCACUAACAUUUUUGUUUCUUCAUGCAUACAGGCAAAGGUUUUCUUAACAACGGUAAAGCCCAAAAAUUUGCUUUACAGUAUUGG